RNAcentral lists this transfer RNA (77 nucleotides) under Coriobacteriia bacterium. Its description in RNAcentral is "tRNA-Arg". It matches the Rfam family "tRNA". From Rfam's summary of the family: Transfer RNA (tRNA) molecules are approximately 80 nucleotides in length. The record is from RNAcentral. Lineage: Bacteria; Bacillati; Actinomycetota; Coriobacteriia.
GCGCCCUUAGCUCAGCUGGAUAGAGCGUCUGACUACGAAUCAGAAGGUCGCAGGUUCGAAUCCUGCAGGGCGCGCCA